This is a long non-coding RNA of Gallus gallus (chicken), 953 nucleotides long. Lineage: Eukaryota; Metazoa; Chordata; Aves; Galliformes; Phasianidae. The record is from Ensembl.
GUGCAAAAAACAUUUUGACAAUCCUACAUGAUACUCUAACUUUCCCCUCAAACAAACAUGCAUUUCCUGAUCUGAGUUGGAAAUUUCCUCUCAAGUAGUGUUUGAUGAACUGAACAAAGAGCAUUAUGCCUAACCAAAGCUGGAAGGAAUCAAAUAUCUCAGGAGACAAGACAAACUAUAAAGGCCCAUAAAAAAAGGGACUUAAAAGGCAACAGAGAUGUGACAUCUGAAAUCAGUGAUGAAUGAGCUACUGAUGAACACAUCCAGGACCUCUGGAAGCCAUUCUCAUCCAGCCCAGUAAUACUGCCAUUAUUUUGUUUCAGAGAUCAGUAAAUGUAAUCAGUGUGAUAAAGGAUUUUCAAUGUUAAAACACCUAAUUUCAAUCUUAUUGAGAAAUGAUAUGUCAUUUUAGGCAUAUCCAGAAGUGCUAUAAAGAAAGCAGGUCAUAAAAAAGAAAGGAAAAAAAUUGCAUUAAUCCAGAAAAGCAAACAGAAAAAUCUUAAUCUGAUCAAGUACCUCACCAUCUGUCAAAGUUCCUAGAUGAGCUUAGGAACUGAGCAUUUAGCAUGAGUUGAGUCUUCAGUUGUUACCCUUGCCCCAGGACUGUUAACCUACACACCUUUGCAUUUAGAAUAGAACCCUAGAUGUGAAAUUUUCAAGACAUUUACAGCAUUUCUUCUUAUGGAAGAAAAUGAGCUUUAGGUCUUCCAUAAGUCUUCUAAAGCUAAUUAAGAAAAGUUAUAUGAACUUGUAUUCCUGGAUAAAGUGAUAAAGCAGCAUUGCUAUUUUCAGUGUGACGUACUAGGCAUAGAACAGAAAAAUAUUUAAAAUGCUGCUUGGCACAACUUGGUACCAAUUAAUGCCCUUUGAACUGAAUAAAAAUAAUCUGCUGUUUCUAUUUUAAUUUCCUGUUUUCUCUUCUUAACCUACAUUCAUGCCUCUUUACUGCCACC